UUAUCGGAGAGUUUGAUCCUGGCUCAGGACGAACGCUGGCGGCGUGCCUAAUACAUGCAAGUCGAGCGGACAGAUGGGAGCUUGCUCCCUGAUGUUAGCGGCGGACGGGUGAGUAACACGUGGGUAACCUGCCUGUAAGACUGGGAUAACUCCGGGAAACCGGGGCUAAUACCGGAUGGUUGUUUGAACCGCAUGGUUCAAACAUAAAAGGUGGCUUCGGCUACCACUUACAGAUGGACCCGCGGCGCAUUAGCUAGUUGGUGAGGUAAUGGCUCACCAAGGCAACGAUGCGUAGCCGACCUGAGAGGGUGAUCGGCCACACUGGGACUGAGACACGGCCCAGACUCCUACGGGAGGCAGCAGUAGGGAAUCUUCCGCAAUGGACGAAAGUCUGACGGAGCAACGCCGCGUGAGUGAUGAAGGUUUUCGGAUCGUAAAGCUCUGUUGUUAGGGAAGAACAAGUACCGUUCGAACAGGGCGGUACCUUGACGGUACCUAACCAGAAAGCCACGGCUAACUACGUGCCAGCAGCCGCGGUAAUACGUAGGUGGCAAGCGUUGUCCGGAAUUAUUGGGCGUAAAGGGCUCGCAGGCGGUUUCUUAAGUCUGAUGUGAAAGCCCCCGGCUCAACCGGGGAGGGUCAUUGGAAACUGGGGA
Molecule: ribosomal RNA, 656 nt
Filed under: Xanthomonas citri pv. citri
Lineage: Bacteria; Pseudomonadati; Pseudomonadota; Gammaproteobacteria; Lysobacterales; Lysobacteraceae
Description: bacterial SSU rRNA
Rfam family: Bacterial small subunit ribosomal RNA
Source: RNAcentral